Molecule: ribosomal RNA, 503 nt
Filed under: uncultured bacterium
Lineage: Bacteria
Description: partial 16S ribosomal RNA
Rfam family: Bacterial small subunit ribosomal RNA
Source: RNAcentral
AACGAACGCUGGCGGCGUGCCUAACACAUGCAAGUCGAACGAGAAAGGGGCUUCGGCUCCGAGUAAAGUGGCGCACGGGUGAGUAACACGUGGGUAACCUGCCUCUAAGAUUGGGAUAACUCGUCGAAAGAUGAGCUAAUACCGAAUAAGACCACAGUUCCCGCGGGAACAGGGGUCAAAGGUAGCCUCUGCUUGCAAGCUAUCACUUAGAGAUGGGCCUGCGCACCAUUAGCUAGUUGGUAGGGUAACGGCCUACCAAGGCAAAGAUGGUUAGCUGGUCUGAGAGGAUGAUCAGCCACACUGGAACUGAGACACGGUCCAGACUCCUACGGGAGGCAGCAGUGGGGAAUAUUGCGCAAUGGGCGAAAGCUUGACGCAGCAACGCCGCGUGAGUGAAGAAGGCCUUCGGGUCGUAAAGCUCUGUCGGGAGGAACGAAUGCUCCUGAGGUUAACAGCCUCGGGAGGUGACGGUACCUUCAAAGGAAGCACCGGCUAACUCUGUG